GACGAACGCUGGCGGCGUGCUUAACACAUGCAAGUCGAGCGGUAAGGCCCCUUUUGGGGGGUACACGAGCGGCGGAACGGGUGAGUAACACGUGGGUGGACCUGCCUUCAGCUCUGGGAUAAGCCUGGGAAACUGGGUCUAAUACCGGAUAUGACCUUUGCCUGCAUGGGGUGGGGGUGGAAAGAUUUGUUUUGGCUGGGGAUGGGCCUGCGGUCUAUCAGCUUGUGGUGGGGUGAUGGCCUACCAAGGCGACGACGGGUAGCCGGCCUGAGAGGGCGGACCGGCCACACUGGGACUGAGACACGGCCCAGACUCCUACGGGAGGCAGCAGUGGGGAAGUAUUGCGCAAUGGGCGGAAGCCUGACGCAGCGACGCCGCGUGGGGAUGACGGCCUCGGUUGUAA
RNAcentral lists this ribosomal RNA (403 nucleotides) under uncultured bacterium. RNAcentral describes it as "bacterial SSU rRNA". It matches the Rfam family "Bacterial small subunit ribosomal RNA", at positions 28 to 428 of the family's 1533-position model. The record is from RNAcentral.